Molecule: ribosomal RNA, 904 nt
Filed under: uncultured beta proteobacterium
Lineage: Bacteria; Pseudomonadati; Pseudomonadota; Betaproteobacteria
Description: bacterial SSU rRNA
Rfam family: Bacterial small subunit ribosomal RNA
Source: RNAcentral
GCAAGUCGAACGGCAGCACGGGAGCAAUCCUGGGUGGCGAGUGGCGAACGGGUGAGUAAUAUAUCGGAACGUGCCCAGUCGUGGGGGAUAACGCAGCGAAAGCUGUGCUAAUACCGCAUACGAUCUACGGAUGAAAGCGGGGGAUCGCAAGACCUCGCGCGAUUGGAGCGGCCGAUAUCAGAUUAGCUAGUUGGUGGGGUAAAAGCUCACCAAGGCGACGAUCUGUAGCUGGUCUGAGAGGACGACCAGCCACACUGGAACUGAGACACGGUCCAGACUCCUACGGGAGGCAGCAGUGGGGAAUUUUGGACAAUGGGGGCAACCCUGAUCCAGCCAUGCCGCGUGAGUGAAGAAGGCCUUCGGGUUGUAAAGCUCUUUCGGCCGGGAAAAAAUCGCUUGGGUUAAUACCCUGAGUGGAUGAUGGUACCGGAAUAAGAAGCACCGGCUAACUACGUGCCAGCAGCCGCGGUAAUACGUAGGGUGCGAGCGUUAAUCGGAAUUACUGGGCGUAAAGCGUGCGCAGGCGGUUUUGUAAGACAGGCGUGAAAUCCCCGGGCUCAACCUGGGAGCUGCGUUUGUGACUGCAAGGCUAGAGUACGGCAGAGGGGGGUGGAAUUCCACGUGUAGCAGUGAAAUGCGUAGAGAUGUGGAGGAACACCAAUGGCGAAGGCAGCCCCCUGGGUCGAUACUGACGCUCAUGCACGAAAGCGUGGGGAGCAAACAGGAUUAGAUACCCUGGUAGUCCACGCCCUAAACUAUGUCAACUAGGUGUUGGGUGGGUAAAACCAUUUGGUACCGUAGCUAACGCGUGAAGUUGACCGCCUGGGGAGUACGGCCGCAAGGUUAAAACUCAAAGGAAUUGACGGGGACCCGCACAAGCGGUGGAUGAUGUGGAUUAAUUCGA